Mauremys mutica (yellowpond turtle) is the source of this 470-nucleotide long non-coding RNA. RefSeq lists it as uncharacterized. Lineage: Eukaryota; Metazoa; Chordata; Testudines; Geoemydidae. The transcript is spliced from 3 exons. The record is from RefSeq and is a predicted model, not a curated record.
GGAAGUCCUGGAAGCUUAGGCUGAUGAGGAGCCAGGCCAGCAAUGUGGCAGAAAUCCAGACAGAUUUCCAACAGAAACCUGCCUGAGGUGGAAUUUUGUCAAAGUCAACAUGGCUCCAUGGAACAUUUCCAUUUUCAUAAAUUGAUCUCUAAAGUGCUUUACAAAGGCCUCUCCAGUUUGUGGUCUCAGAAGAGGACUGGAGAGGAGCUGCCAGGAGCUGGGAGGUUCUGGUAAGGAAGCCCCAGUCAGAGUUCUCAACACAGAGCUGGAUCAAAAGUGUGAUGUUUUUAACGGAUAUGAUCAAUACUCCAUACAAGAAAUGUACCCAGGCAACUACCUCAAUGUUGGCCAAAGCAUGAGGAAGAACUGAGGGUUUUCAUUAACAUCUGCCUACGUUAACACCUGUGGGAAAACGCUGUCUCCUAGCUUCCACUACUAAGUGAGCAUAUUCUCUGAACAGCCUCCAUUAC